GGAAACAGAAGAGUAUCUGAACAAGCACUUCCCAGGUUUUCUGUCUCACCAAGGAGGUAAGGACUGUACACCCUACUCUUACACCUGAAUCUCGGGACGAGAUUCUUUUUAAGAGGGGUAGGCUGUGACGACCGACCCCCAAAUCUCUUGAGUUAAUCUUAAUCCGAGCCCCUAAUCACCUGUCUUAGUUUUCCAAGCCUAAGUGUUCAACCUCCCGACCGGUCCCGACCCCUGAGACCCGACCCCUCUCCGCAGGCAUCCAGUUCCGACCCCGCCGACCCCAACUCACCCGCCGGAUCUUUCUAAGUCUUUCCCAACACCUCCUUUCUAUCUGACCGAUGGACCCACGAGAUCUUUUCCCCAGAUCUUCUGCGACAGGCGCACUCG
RNAcentral lists this long non-coding RNA (387 nucleotides) under Setaria viridis. RNAcentral describes it as "long non-coding RNA (SVIR_LNC010649)". The record is from RNAcentral. Lineage: Eukaryota; Viridiplantae; Streptophyta; Magnoliopsida; Poales; Poaceae.